This 99-nucleotide microRNA precursor is filed under the name Aedes aegypti (yellow fever mosquito). RNAcentral describes it as "pre miRNA AAEL028775". The record is from RNAcentral. Lineage: Eukaryota; Metazoa; Arthropoda; Insecta; Diptera; Culicidae.
UUCUGGUAGGGAUCAGUCGAUAUGACGUUUGGCUUGGGUCCGCUCAAUAUAAAACGACCCAAGCCAAACGUCAAAUCGACUGUUCCCUACCAGAAAGUG